UAGUGAUCCGGUGGUUCUGAAUGGAAGGGCCAUCGCUCAACGGAUAAAAGGUACUCCGGGGAUAACAGGCUGAUACCGCCCAAGAGUUCAUAUCGACGGCGGUGUUUGGCACCUCGAUGUCGGCUCAUCACAUCCUGGGGCUGAAGUAGGUCCCAAGGGUAUGGCUGUUCGCCAUUUAAAGUGGUACGCGAGCUGGGUUUAGAACGUCGUGAGACAGUUCGGUCCCUAUCUGCCGUGGGCGCUGGAGAACUGAGGGGGGCUGCUCCUAGUACGAGAGGACCGGAGUGGACGCAUCACUGGUGUUCGGGUUGUCAUGCCAAUGGCACUGCCCGGUAGCUAAAUGCGGAAGAGAUAAGUGCUGAAAGCAUCUAAGCACGAAACUUGCCCCGAGAUGAGUUCUCCCUGACUCCUUGAGAGUCCUGAAGGAACGUUGAAGACGACGACGUUGAUAGGCCGGGUGUGUAAGCGCAGCGAUGCGUUGAGCUAACCGGUACUAAUGAACCGUGAGGCUUAACCUUACAACACCGAAGGUGUUU
Molecule: ribosomal RNA, 536 nt
Filed under: Escherichia coli
Lineage: Bacteria; Pseudomonadati; Pseudomonadota; Gammaproteobacteria; Enterobacterales; Enterobacteriaceae
Description: bacterial LSU rRNA
Rfam family: Bacterial large subunit ribosomal RNA
Source: RNAcentral